CGAACGCUUUGUUUUUAAUUGAUAUGAAGAGCUUGCUCUGAUUUGAUUUCUAUCUGACAAAGAGUGGCGAACGGGUGAGUAACACGUGGGUAACCUACCUCUUAGCAGGGGAUAACAUUUGGAAACAAGUGCUAAUACCGUAUAACACUAACAACCGCAUGGUUGUUAGUUGAAAGAUGGUUCUGCUAUCACUAAGAGAUGGACCCGCGGUGCAUUAGCUAGUUGGUAAGGUAAUGGCUUACCAAGGCGAUGAUGCGUAGCCGAGUUGAGAGACUGAUCGGCCACAAUGGGACUGAGACACGGCCCAUACUCCUACGGGAGGCAGCAGUAGGGAAUCUUCCACAAUGGGCGCAAGCCUGAUGGAGCAACGCCGCGUGUGUGAUGAAGGGUUUCGGCUCGUAAAACACUGUUAUAAGAGAAGAACGACAUUGAGAGUAACUGUUCAGUGUGUGACGGUAUCUUAUCAGAAAGGAACGGCUAAAUACGUGCCAGCAGCCGCGGUAAUACGUAUGUUCCAAGCGUUAUCCGGAUUUAUUGGGCGUAAAGCGAGCGCAGACGGUUAUUUAAGUCUGAAGUGAAAGCCCUCAGCUCAACUGAGGAAGGGCUUUGGAAACUGGAUAACUUGAGUGCAGUAGAGGAAAGUGGAACUCCAUGUGUAGCGGUGAAAUGCGUAGAUAUAUGGAAGAACACCGGUGGCGAAAGCGGCUUUCUGGACUGUAACUGA
RNAcentral lists this ribosomal RNA (724 nucleotides) under uncultured bacterium. RNAcentral's name for it is "bacterial SSU rRNA". It matches the Rfam family "Bacterial small subunit ribosomal RNA", at positions 30 to 743 of the family's 1533-position model. The record is from RNAcentral.